UAGCCGUAAACGAUACUCGCUAGGUGUCGGCCACGGUGCGACCGUUGUCGGUGCCGUAGGGAAGCCGUGAAGCGAGCCACCUGGGAAGUACGGCCGCAAGGCUGAAACUUAAAGGAAUUGGCGGGGGAGCACCACAACGGGUGGAGCUUGCGGUUUAAUUGGACUCAACGCCGGGAAGCUCACCGGAUAAGACAGACAUAUGAUAGUCGGGCUGAAGACUCUACUUGAUGAUCUGAGAGGAGGUGCAUGGCGUCAGUGACU
RNAcentral lists this ribosomal RNA (261 nucleotides) under uncultured archaeon. RNAcentral's name for it is "partial 16S ribosomal RNA". It matches the Rfam family "Archaeal small subunit ribosomal RNA", at positions 748 to 1008 of the family's 1478-position model. The record is from RNAcentral.